RNAcentral lists this transfer RNA (17 nucleotides) under Placosoma glabellum. Its description in RNAcentral is "partial tRNA-Leu". Lineage: Eukaryota; Metazoa; Chordata; Lepidosauria; Squamata; Gymnophthalmidae. The record is from RNAcentral.
ACUUUUAAAGGAAAGUA